Molecule: long non-coding RNA, 510 nt
Organism: Nycticebus coucang (slow loris)
Lineage: Eukaryota; Metazoa; Chordata; Mammalia; Primates; Lorisidae
Exons: 3
Source: RefSeq, a predicted model, not a curated record
CAAUAAAGUUGAGUUCCUGCUUCGACAGACUCCCGGCUCCGUGUGUUCCUGUUCGGGCCAUCGACACUCACCAUCCUGCUCAGCCCCUGGGAUGAGAUCAGGCUGGCCCCGAUCUUCCCUCAACUGCAGCUGCCGGAGGACCCGGCAAUAGGGAGAAUAAGAUGGCUAACCAGAAAUUGAGCACUGCAUAGGCCUGGCAUUUCAACACAGGACUUUACACACAUGUUCAUCCAGUGCUCUCAUGAGCUCUGCAGGUAGGAAGAAGAGUCUGGGGUGGUAGAGAGAAGCAGGUGCCCAGAACUUGUUCAGGCUGCAAUGCCCAGAGCUGCGAUCUGCGCUUCAAACUGGCGCCCCUUCCAGUCACGUGACCUGCUGUGAGGCCCUGGGGUGCAGGGUGGGUGGGAUGCGGGCGAGCAGCCACGCCCACACAGCCAAGACGGGUCUCCCUUUGCUGACUCUCAUUGCUACAUGAAAAUCUCUGUGAAAAAAUUAAACUGAUAAAUCACUAUG